This 11592-nucleotide long non-coding RNA is filed under the name Carica papaya (papaya). RNAcentral describes it as "long non-coding RNA (CPAP_LNC012127)". The record is from RNAcentral. Lineage: Eukaryota; Viridiplantae; Streptophyta; Magnoliopsida; Brassicales; Caricaceae.
UAAACUAAAAAAAUUAAAACAUAAGUAAAUAAUUCUCCCCCCCCCCCCCGGUACUUCCCUUCCCAAACUCUUACAACCCGUCUGUAACGGCCCCGGAAAUUUAAAAUGGAAUGUAUAUUAAAAAUAUCAAAUGCGGAAGCGAAGUCAAAAUUCGAUUAACAUCCCUUACACUAAAACAAAAAACGUGCUCAAAAUAUAAAAGAUCGAACUGACUAAAAGAGAGAUUCGAAAGUAAACUAUGAAUAUGACUUUGGAGUCUUUAGGCGUCCCCUUCGUCGUCUUCUUGCGGAACGGGCUCGGGAACAAUGUCUUCCUGAUCUGAAAUGAUUAAAUAAGGAAUGAGCUACACUAGCCCAGUAAGGACAUCACGAUAUCUCACCAUCACGGAGAUAAAGGUGGGUAGAAAACACAAAAAGACCAAUAGAGCAUAAUUUACAAUAAACUCAUUUAUCAGUAAUAAAACCCUUUACCAUUCACUUACUUCGGUGAAAUUCAUAAAACAAUAUACGAAAGCAAUAACAUUAUCAUAAUCAUGAAAUCAUAUAAACUGUGUAACAUAAUACUCAUCACGCCCUUGCAAUUCAAUCAUUUCACAAUUACUUUUCCUCAUUCACCAGCCUACUAGUAUCCAUGGGGAUCCAUAGGGGUCCCGCUACCCGUUACCCUUAAUACUUGUAAUCAGAUUUCCAGGGUCGUCCCCAUACCCCGUCCGGUAUGGGCGCCAAAACUGUAAACCUCAAUACCCCGUCCGGUAUGAGGGUGAAACGGGCCGUCCCCAUACCCCGUCCGGUAUGGGUGCCGAACACAUAAGAUCUCCAUACCCCGUCCGGUAUGAGAGACCACAAUCCCGGUAGGGUCCCCUACGGACCCGGUCCGUCCACCAUCUCUCAGGAUAUCUAGUCAGGCUGACCACAUUAUACAAUUACCUAUUUACAUAAUCUAUCAUUCUCUUUUCCCUCAGUCAGUAUCCUCAAUCCACAUACAAACAAACAAAAUAGUAAUUUAUGCCAAACAGACAACAUACAACAUCAAUAUCCCGGUCAUUCAAUCCAUAAUCAAUAAAACAGUAAAAUAUGCACACGAAACUAUAAAAUGAAAACAUCGAACUUCAUGCUGCAUUUAAAACUGUAAAACAGGCCAAAUAACAGUUAACCGACAAACACACUGGACUCGGUCUCCAUUAGCGACCUUAAGCAGUUUCACACACUCGUUGAUUCAUGAAAUACCAUUUUAUCAUUUAUUGAACUUUAAAACUGUGAUAGGAAAUAGGGUGAGGGGUCCUUACUCGUUUCGGGGUCCGAACACGGCUUCACAGUGCGCCUACAGACUUUCCCUAAUUUUUCCUGAAUUUUUCUCGGGGAACUGAAACGUACUACUGGUACCUGCACGUGUUUCAAAAAAAUCCCAAAUUAGGCCCAAGGCCCAUUUUGGCCCAAAUCGCAACUCCGGCACGGCGGCAGUUUGCCUCGGGUUGGUCGUUUUCGGCCGAAUUCGGCCACACUCGCAUUGGUUCCUGUGAUAAAACAACCCUACGGCCCUCGGGGGGCCGAAAAUUUACGAAAAAUCGAAGCUUACCGGCGGCGGUGCUCUCGGGUGUGGCGGCUCUCCGGUGAAGUUCGUGUUUUAGUGAUUCGGCUCCGAUCAACCUGUAGAGAAAAGAAUGGUGAUCACGGUGAUAUAAAAAUUGCAUUAAACGGAGGCCGGGAAGGGCCUCAUCAGAGGCAAAAAUUAAGAAGGGGCGCGGCGGCGCCGCUGGCUUUCGGCCGUGUUUUUCGGCCGUUUGGCCGGGAUUUUGGCUCCGAUUUGGCCACUGGAGAAAUCAGCGUGGAAAAACGAGUCGGGGGUAUGAAAUUUACCUCGAUCGGCGGUCAGAAAUCUCUCCGGUGCGGCGGCGGGUGGUGGCGGCCGGCUUCUGGUUCGUCUUCUCCGGCGAGCGACAGGCGGCUAGGGUUUGUGGUCUGGUGUGGGGGUUCUAUUUAUAACCCUUUGCCCUUUUGAUCUCAGCCAUCCAUUUUAUUUUAAUCUGCGCCGUCCGUUUUUGAUUAAAUCUGGGCCGUCCGAUCGCACGCUUGAUCUGGACCGUCCGAUCGCGCCUACGUGGAUCGCCAACGUGGUCCGUUUCGGAACGACGUGGUCUUGCCACGUGGCAGGUCCCGGUUGGCCGGGACUGCUGACCAGGCCUGCUGACGUGGCUGCUGACGUGGUUUUUUUUUUCGGCCCUUUUUCCGAGUGCUACAACUCUCCCCCCCUUAAAGAAAUUUGGUCCCCAAAUUUGGCUCAUUACUCUUGAUCAAACAGAUGGGGAUAUUGGGCCCUAAAUUCUGAUUCCAGUUCCCAAGUCGCCUCCCUGGGCGUGUGGUUCUGCCACAUGACUUUUACAAAUGAUAUUUCCCGGUUGCGGAGUAUUCUGCUUUCUCGGUCCGUGAUACUGACUGGUACUUCUUCAUAAGUCAAGUCCUCUCGGAGUGGAAGCGGUUCAUGAGCCAAGACAUGAGAAGGGUCUGGAUUGUACUUACGUAGCAUAGAUACAUGGAACACAUUAUGAACCCAUGAGAGCUCAGGAGGCAGUGCAAGUCUGUAGGCAGUGGUACCAAUCUUAUCUAAGAUCUCAAAGGGUCCAAUAUAUCUGGGGUUUAAUUUUCCCCUCCUGCCGAACCUACUAAUUCCUUUGAAGGGGGUGACUUUAAGAAACACCCGGUCGCUUUUCUCAAAGGCCAGGUCUCUCCUCCGGGUAUCAGCAUAACUCUUCUGCCUACUCUGAGCUGUCUGGAUGUUCUUCUUGAUUUUAACUAUCUUGGACGUGGUUUCUUCUACCAAAUCCGGACCGAACAAUCUUCUAUCGCCCAUUUCUUCCCAACAGAUCGGUGACCUGCACGGGUGCCCGUAUAGCGCCUCAUAUGGGGCCAUGCCGAUGCUUGCUUGGUAACUGUUGUUGUAAGCAAACUCUAUCAGGGGUAGGUGGUCGUCCCAAUGGCCCCCGGAGUCAAGGACACAAGCUCGGAGCAUAUCCUCCAGCGUACGAAUUGUCCUUUCUGAUUGUCCAUCGGUUUGGGGGUGGAAAGCAGUACUAAGUGACAGCUUUGUUCCCAUAGCUUGUUGGAAACUAUUCCAAAACCGAGAAGUGAAUCUGGGAUCCCUGUCGGAUACCACUGUUACUGGAACUCCAUGCAGUCUGACUACCUCCCGGAUAUACAUUCUUGCCAACUUGUCCAAAGGAUCAGUCAUUCUGAUGGCCAGGAAGUGGGAAGACUUAGUGAGUCGGUCAACAAUUACCCAUAUAGUAUCAUGUCCCGAUCGUGCCUUGGGUAGUCCCGAUACGAAGUCCAUGGUGAUAUGUUCCCACUUCCACUCUGGAAUCGGUAAAGGCUGAAGUAACUCGCCCGGGCGUUGGUGUUCUACUUUGACCUGCUGGCAUACCAAGCACUUAGAUACAAAGUCGGCUAUAUCUCUCUUCAUCCCAUUCCACCAGAAACGAGGUCGCAUAGUUUGGUACAUUUUCAUACUUCCUGGAUGCAUGGCGAACCUUGAACUAUGGGACUCUGUCAUGAUGUCUCUUUUUAACUCACUGUCGUCUGGAACACACACUCUGUCCUUGAAACGAAUCAAUCCGUCGGCAGAGAUCUGAAAUUCUGAGCUCACUCCCUGUUCUGCCUUCUUCUUGCGGGUUACUAGGGCGGGGUCGACUGACUGAGCUUCUUUUAUUCUUUGGAUUAACUCGAGUUGGACUGCUAGGUGGCCCAAACAUGUGAUUCUCUUCAGGUCUCGUAGGCGAACCUGCUGUGUGGCCCCAAUGGACCUACAUUUUGAAACCAUCAGAUGGGCUAGGGUGUCUGCACUUUUCCUGCUGAGGGCAUCGGCCACCACGUUGCCCUUACCUGGAUGGUAUAGGAUGUCACAAUCAUAGUCAUUGAGGAGUUCCAUCCACCUUCUCUGACGCAUGUUGAGAUCCUUCUGAGUGAAGAUAUGCUUCAAACUUUUAUGAUCGGUGUAGAUCUGAAAGGUCUCUCCAUACAAAUAAUGGCGCCAGGUUUUCAAGGCGUGUAUGAUUGCGGCAAGCUCCAAGUCAUGGGUAGGAUAGUUCUUCUCAUGAUUCUUUAGUUGUCUAGACCCAUAUGCUAUAACCUUUCCAUGCUGCAUUAGGACACAACCCAGGCCCAGAUAGGAGGCAUCACUAUAAACUGUGUACCCUCCUGAUCCACUCAGUAGAGCCAGCACUGGUGCAGUAGUCAGUCGCUUCUUCAACUCUGAAAAACUCCUCUCGCAGUUCUCAUUCCAUUCAAACCUUCCAUUCUUCUUUGUGAGUCGGGUCAGAGGAGCUGCUAGACUAGAGAACCCCUCGACAAACCGGCGGUAAUAACCUGCCAUCCCUAGGAAACUGCGAAUUUCCUUAACUGUCGUCAGCCUUUCCCAACCAAGUACCGCUUCAACCUUUUCGGGGUUCACCGACACCCCUUCCUUCGAUAUAACAUGUCCUAGGAAGGCGGUUUGUUCGAGCCAAAAUCCACACUUGUUCAACUUCGCAUACAACUUCUUUUCCCUGAGUACCUGUAGGACUUGGGCAAGAUGAUGAGCAUGUUCUUCCCUACUUUUUGAGUAGACUAAGAUAUCAUCGAUGAACACGAUGACAAAUUGAUCCAAGAAUUCUCUGAAGAUUCUGUCCAUUAGAUCCAUAAAGAUGGUCGGGGCGUUGGUUAGCCCAAACGGCAUAACCAGGAACUCAUAGUGUCCGUACCUGGUUCGGAAUGCCGUCUUGGGGAUGUCUUCGGCUCUCACUUUUACCUGAUGGUAACCUGAUCGUAGAUCUAUUUUGAAAAAGACCUGUGCACCCUGCAACUGAUCGAAAAGGUCAUCAAUCCGGGGAAGAGGGUACUUGUUCUUAAUUGUUACCUUGUUUAUCCUUCUAUAAUCAAUGCACAGUCUCAGUGUUCCAUCCCCUUUCUUUGCAAAAGUAACCCCGGCACCCCAUGGGGAAAUGUUGUGUCUAAUGAAGCCACUGUUUUGUAGCUCAGUGAUUUGUUUCCUUAGCUCUUCCAUCUCGAUGCGACUCAUUCGGUAAGGAGCUACCGAGAUGGGCUGGGUUCCUGGCUGUAAGUCUAUAGUGAACUCGACCUCUCUGUCCCCUGGUAGACCGGGCAGUUCAUCCAGAAAUACGUCUGGAAAGUCUCGGACUACUGGAAUCUCUUGGAUACAGACUUCUUUCUUGGGUUUACCUAGUUAGAGAAAAUACAAUAUUAAGGCACUGGGAAUUUAGAAGAAAAGAAUUUGCCAUUAGGGGAAAUCAGUACCGAAUAAUUUUUUUUUUAUUAACUUGUAAAUGGCUCCUCGUUGGGAGGAUUAAAUACAAUCUUUUUGUUAAAGCAGUCUAUGGUGGCGUGAUACACCGCUAGCCAAUCCAUUCCUAGGAUUACAUCAAAAUCCCCUGUGUCUAACCCUAUCAGGUCUACCCUCAAUUUUCUAUCUGCUAUCUCCACGGCACAUGCCCUGUAAACAACCUCUCCUAGCAAUGUUUCCCCCCCCCAGCGGUAGAUACAAGCAAAAAUGAAUUAAGUCUAUCAGGUGAUAUACAAAUUUUGGAAGCAAGAACAUGUGAAAUAAAAGAAUGUGAUGCACCAGUAUCAAACAAAACAUGAGCAAUGUUGCCAGAGAUAGUAUACAUACCAUGUACCACAUCCGGGUCUGCGUCGGCAUCCUUCUGGGUAAGGUUGUAAACUCUGCCCUGGAUUGGAGGCCUCCCUUGAUUCUGGUUCCUAGGGCACUCCCUCGCAUAGUGCUAGGCGCUGCCGCAUAUGCGACAGGUGUUGUUGAGGCGGUAGCAGGGUCGGUCCCCAUGAUCCCUGCCGCAGUACUGGCAGAUCUUCCCACGUACUGCCCCCAUAGCCUGAGGAGGGGCAUGGACGGCAGGCCUGGGCCUCUUACUGGGCUGGACAGGCAUGGUAGGCGCUGGCCUGCGGAGCGGGGCUGAAGGUCGGGAACUUCCCGCUAGCUGAGGGCGAGUGUCGAAGCUCCUUUCUAUGAUUUGCGCCUUUGCCAGGACUGCCGAAUAUGUCUCGAGCUCCAUCACCAAUAAGUGCCGUCUGAUCGCCGGGCGGAGACCCCACUGGAAUUUUCUGGCCUUUCGGCCCUCAUCCAACAAUGUCUCCGGGGCAUGUCGGCCCAGCUCCAGGAACUUGCGGGCAUACUCCGACACUGUCAUAUUUUCCUGGACCAAUUGAGCAAAUUCCAUUUCCUUUAAAUGUUGGAUGUGUUUAAGGAGAUACUCCGCAUGGAAGGCCGCUAGGAACUGCUCCCAAGUAACUGGUACAGGCAGGGUGGCCCGCUUGAGCUCCCACCAGCGUACUGCCUCCCCUACCAGCAUGUAGGAGGCAAUGGUAGCCCUCUGCUCAGGAACUACUUCCAAGGUCUCGAAAGCUCUCUCAGUCUCUGCCAGCCAGUAUUGGGCCUCUUCGAAAGAGGAUCCCCCUAAAAAAGUAGAAGGGUUCAGUCUUCUGUACCUCUCUAUGAAGCCGGGGUCGAUCAAGGAGGAAGCGGGGUCCCGAGGUAGAGGGACUGGGACCGGCUGAGGGUGAACUGGGGGACCCUGUGGUGGUGCCUGCUGAUGUGGUGGGGGCACUGGAAUGUGCUGUGGCGGCACCUGUUGGUACUGUGGCUGUGGUACCGGGUCGUACCGCGGCUGUGGUGCCGGGUGGUACUGUGGAGGAACAGGCUCCUGCCGGGGUGGCUCGGGAUCAGCCUGCUGUAGCGGGGGCUCAAUCUGCGCUAGCGGAGGAGGUCCGGGUAACUUCCUUCUCUCCUCUUGCCUUCGCUGGGCAACUACGAGGGCUUCCACCAUCUCAUAUAAUCUGUCUAAAUCCUCCCGAAGCGAAUUAUCUUGGGCCGCUCGGUUUAGUGGGGGCCUUCCUCUCCUCAUUUCUGUGUACCUGCAUUCACAAGGAAUGGUUGAGUAACGACCAAUCGGUGAGUAUUUCUUUAAAGGACUCUAGUGUAAGGGAUGGGUCCGAGGAAACGCGGCUCUGAUACCAACUGUAACGGCCCCGAAAUUUAAAAUGGAAUGUAUAUUAAAAAUAUCAAAUGCGGAAGCGAAGUCAAAAUUCGAUUAACAUCCCUUACACUAAAACCAAAAACGUGCUCAAAAUAUAAAAGAUCGAACUGACUCAAAGAGAGAUUCGAAAGUAAACUAUGAAUAUGACUUGGAGUCUUUAGGCGUCCCCUUCGUCGUCUUCUUGCGGAACGGGCUCGGGAACAAUGUCUUCCUGAUCUGAAAUGAUUAAAUAAGGAAUGAGCUACACUAGCCCAGUAAGAACAUCACGAUAUCUCAUCGUCACGGAGAUAAAGGUGGGUAGAAAACACAAAAAGACCAAUGGAGCAUAAUUUACAAUAAACUCAUUUAUCAGUAAUAAAACCCUUUACCAUUCACUUACCUCGGUGAAAUUCAUAAAACAAUAUACGAAAGCAAUAACAUUAUCAUAAUCAUGAAAUCAUAUAAACUGUGUAACAUAAUACUCAUCACGCCCUUGUAAUUCAAUCAUUUCACAAUUACUUUUCCUCAUUCACCAGCCUACUAGUAUCCAUGGGGAUCCAUAGGGGUCCCGCUACCCGUUACCAUUAAUACUUGUAAUCAGAUUUCCAGGGUCGUCCCCAUAUCCCGUUCGGUAUGGGCGCCAAAACUGUAAACCUCAAUACCCCGUCCGGUAUGAGGGUGAAACGGGCCGUCCCCAUACCCCGUCCGGUAUGGGCGCCGAACACAUAAGAUCUCCAUACCCCGUCCGGUAUGAGAGACCACAAUCCCGGUAGGGUCCCCUACGGACCCGGUCCGUCCACCAUCUCUCAGGAUAUCUAGUCAGGCUGACCACAUUAUACAAUUACUCAUUUACAUAAUCUAUCAUUCUCUUUUCUCUCAGUCAGUAUCAUCAAUCCACAUACAAACAAACAAAACAGUAAUUUAUGCCAAACAGACAACAUACAGCAUCAAUAUCCCGGUCAUUCAAUCCAUAAUCAAUAAAACAGUAAAAUAUGCACACGAAACUAUAAAAUGAAAACAUCGAACUUCAUACUGCAUUUAAAACUGUAAAACAGGCCAAAUAACAGUUAACCGACAAACACACUGGACUCGGUCUCCAUUAGCGACCUUAAGCAGUUUCACACACUCGUUGAUUCAUGAAAUACCAUUUUAUCAUUUAUUGAACUUUAAAACCGUGAUAGGAAAUAGGGUGAGGGGUCCUUACUCGUUUCGGGGUCCGAACACGGCUUCACAGUGCGCCUACAGGCUGUCCUUAAUUUUUCCUGAAUUUUUUUCGGGGAACUGAAACGCACUACUGGUACCUGCACGUGUUCCAAAAAAAUCCCAAAUUAGGCCCAGGGCCCCUUUCGGCCCAAAUCGCAACUCCGGCACGGUGGCUCCGCCGUGCUCCGGCGACGGUUUGCCUCGGGUUGGCCGUUUUCGGCCACACUCGCAUUGGUUCUUGUGAUAAAACAACCCUACGGCCCUCGGGGGGCCGAAAAUUUACGGAAAACCGAAGCUUACCGGCGGCGGUGCUCUCGGGUGCGGCAGCUCUCCGGUGAAGUUCGUGUUUUGGUGAUUCGGCUCCGAUCAACCUGUAGAGAAAAGAAUGGUGAUCACGGUGAUAUAAAAAUUGUAUUAAACGGAGGCCGGGAAGGGCCUCAUCGGAUGCAAAAAUCGAGAAGGGGUGCGGCGGCGCCGCUGGCUUUCGGCCGUGUUUUCUGGCCGUUUGGCCGGGAUUUUGGCUCCGAUUUGGCCACUGGAGAAAUCAGCGUGGAAAAACGAGUCGGGGGUAUGAAAUUUACCUCGAUCAGCGGUCGAAAAUCCCUCCGGUGCGACGGUGGGUGGCGGCGGCCGGCUUCUGGUUCGUCUUCUCCGGCGAGCGGCAGACGGCUAGGGUUUGUUGUCUGGUGUGGGGGUUCUAUUUAUAACCCUUUGCCCUUUUGAUCUCAGCCGUCCAUUUUAUUUUAAUAUGGGCCGUCCGUUUUUGAUUAAAUCCGGGCCGUCCGUGCAAUUAAAUCUGGGUCAUCCGAUCGCACGCUUGAUCUGUACCGUCCGAUCGCGCCUACGUGGAUCGCCAACGUGGCCCGUUUCGGAACGACGUGGUCUUGUCACGUGACAGGUCCCGGUUGGCCGGGACUGCUGACCGGGCCUGCUGACGUGGCUCUUUUUUUUUUUUUUUUUUUUUUUUUUUCGGCCCCUUUUCCGGGCGCUACACCGUCACUGUUCCCCAGUCUCUCCAGGUUCAUUUCACGGUCCUGCACUUUCCUUCCCCCAACCUCUCACAAUCUGUCUCUGCUUCCCAGAACAGAACCGUUUUUCCAUUUUCUGCAUAUGCCUCCAUCAGAUUUCCCAUUUCCAUAACACUUCUGAAGGAAAUACAAAUACCCAGAAAAGUCUGCAUUCUACCCAACACUAUAACCCCACACUCGCCUGCAUUCCAGAAUACAAUAGGCUUCCACUUUCUGUCUAACCCUCCAUCAAAUUCUCCAUUACUAUAACCUUCAAAAAUGCAAACACGCAGAACAGAGUUACUUAAUCCAACACGCAGAUUUACUCUCACUUUCAUUUAUUUCCCACUGUUAUUUGAUUUAGACAAUUCAAAAUUUGUCGACAAUAAUAUCCCCACCAAACAGUACACACAUACACACACAACGACCUCAAGGGCCACGCGCGCACACGACUUGCAUUCUGUAUGCCAGACACGGCCCUUCCGGCCUUCCCUUUCUCGGCCACACCUUUGGCCUCUCAAACAGCAUACAUUCGGGAGAUUUACUCCCCUUCGGACCUUCUGUUUCUCGGUCCAAUCCGCAGACAGAUCAUUGGUCAGCUAAAUCACAUCACCACGACCAACACUGGCCACCCACACACCCAAGAGAAAUAACAGCGUAAUAGUAACCCAACCAUGGAUCGGUUUACACUUAAUUCCAUUUCCUAUUUAUCCUCUAAUCUUUGCCAUCUGUCCUAUCUAUUUUUUGUCAGACCACUAUUCAACCCCACCCAAAUCUCUAAACCUAACUCAUUCAUGUUCUGCCAUCAUUGUUUCACCUCUGUUAUCACUCUCAAAACAGCUUUCCCGACCUAAGCAGGUGGACUACCUGGGGGGUAUUUCAACUCAGUUUUUUUUCAUUCUUUUUUUUUUUUCCUUCUUCUUUUCAUUUUCUUACUAUUCCACUUCUCUUCAGUCACCCCCCUCUCUUCUGCACUGUCAGGAAAACAAAUAGCUUGUUUACUCUCUCUACUUGUCUCGACCCAAAAGGCCUACUCUCUCUCUCUAAAGGUUCUCGUCACCUAGCUUCUCUCGUCACCCACAACUGUCCCAAUUCUCUCAGUUGCUCCGAAUCCCCACCUUCGUAUAUAUGUUUUUAUUUUUUGGUUUUACCUCACCAACACAUAUUACAUCCGGAACCUCAUUACCCGGUUACAACGUACACACGUCAUCUAGACCAUUCACAAAUAUAGAGUUCAGCAGAAAUCACAUGCAGCCAUUUCCAUUUCCCAUCAUACCAACACACAAACAUAAGAUAUUAACACAGUACUAACUCAGUGCAUUACUUAUGCAUGUCAUCGCAGAAUUCAUGCCGGAAUUCGAUAUUCCACGGCCUCACGUUGGCCACUCUCAAUCACACGCACAGCUUCAGAGUUACCGAUUUAAAAUACUAAUAACUACAGAAUGUUGUUUUACUUAUACUGUUACAUUUUUCUCUCUUUUUUUCUUUUCUUUUCAAGUUUCUGUCUGAUUCACUCCCAAGGGAUAUACUGUUUUAAAUCUCUUACUGCUCCUUUCUAUGGAAAUUUGGGGUUUAGGUUCUUCUGUUCUUCCCCCCUGUUCCUUACCACGAAUUAUUAUAGUCACCGUCAUUCCCUGUUGUUUCAGUUCCUGAUUUAUUUAGUUUCUCUCCAACUUUUACCUACUAUAAUUUACUCAAAACGAUUUAGUAGUUAAAUUGGACCUUCAUGCUUUCGCGUCAACACUUCCUAAAGGUGAAUUCACCUUGUUAUAUUCAGAAAAUUAAUUCAACUAUUUUAAAAUUCGGGUUUAAGUUCAGCUUGAACUUACCUCUGUCUUCGAAUACAGCGUCUGCUUCCCCGCAGAAAGCUCUUCUCUGAUCGCCCCCUGUCUGGCCAUGAAGACUCCAAUCUUGUCUUCUCCUCUUUUCCUUUCCUCUCUCCUCCUCUCCUCAGCAUUCCCCUCUUCUUUACUUACAGCCCAUGAAACCCAAUCUAGACCGUUGUUUCGUUUCCUUUCAUCUGGAUUGUCCACGUAUGAAGAGCGUUAUACGGGUCUCUGCUUCAUCCGCAUCGUGUGUCUCCAUCAUUGUCGUUCUUCUGUAACAAGACAUGGUAGCCUCACCCUCCGUUUAACGUGCCUCCAUCCACACCGUUUUUCUGUAACAGACUCCUGCAUCUACCUCGCAUGAGUUAAUUCGUUGUUGUUUGAUUGUAAAUACCUCUGUUUGUCUAUCUUGCAAUUGGACCCCAUGGUUUUUCUUCCCCCCUUUAUUUCAUAAUUGUACUCUUAAUAUGUAUAAAACAAAACUUGCUGAAUGCUCAUUCCUUCUCAUUAUCUAUUCGUACUCAUUUUUUAGUUCCGG